Oscillatoriales cyanobacterium is the source of this 73-nucleotide transfer RNA. It matches the Rfam family "tRNA". Rfam says of the family: Transfer RNA (tRNA) molecules are approximately 80 nucleotides in length. Their secondary structure includes four short double-helical elements and three loops (D, anti-codon, and T loops). Lineage: Bacteria; Bacillati; Cyanobacteriota; Cyanophyceae; Oscillatoriales. The record is from Rfam.
GGGGCUAUAGCGCAGUUGGUAGCGCACUUCAAUGGCAUUGAAGGGGUCAGGAGUUCGAAUCUCCUUAGCUCCA